This 75-nucleotide transfer RNA is filed under the name Thermoproteus uzoniensis 768-20. RNAcentral's name for it is "tRNA-Phe (GAA) (tRNA-Phe-GAA-1-1)". It matches the Rfam family "tRNA". From Rfam's summary of the family: Transfer RNA (tRNA) molecules are approximately 80 nucleotides in length. Their secondary structure includes four short double-helical elements and three loops (D, anti-codon, and T loops). Further hydrogen bonds mediate the characteristic L-shaped molecular structure. tRNAs have two regions of fundamental functional importance: the anti-codon, which is responsible for specific mRNA codon recognition, and the 3' end, to which the tRNAs corresponding amino acid is attached (by aminoacyl-tRNA synthetases). tRNAs cope with the degeneracy of the genetic code in two manners: having more than one tRNA (with a specific anti-codon) for a particular amino acid; and 'wobble' base-pairing, i.e. permitting non-standard base-pairing at the 3rd anti-codon position. Lineage: Archaea; Thermoproteati; Thermoproteota; Thermoprotei; Thermoproteales; Thermoproteaceae. RNAcentral also lists the same sequence under 2 other names. The record is from RNAcentral.
GCGGCCGUAGCUCAGCGGGAGAGCGCCCGGCUGAAGACCGGGCGGUCCCGGGUUCAAGUCCCGGCGGCCGCACCA